GACGAACGCUGGCGGCGUGCUUAACACAUGCAAGUCGAACGGAAAGGCCCUGCUUUUGUGGGGUUCUCGAGUGGCGAACGGGUGAGUAACACGUGAGUAACCUGCCCUUGACUUUGGGAUAACUUCAGGGAACUGGGGCUAAUACCGGAUAGGAUCUCCUGCUGCAUGGUGGGGGUUGGAAAGUUUCGGCGGUUGGGGAUGGACUCGCGGCUUAUCCGCUUGUUGGUGGGGUAGUGGCUUACCAAGGUUUUGACGGGUAGCCGGCCUGAGAGGGUUACCGGCCACAUUGGGACUGAGAUACGGCCCAGACGCCUACGGGAGGCAGCAGUGGGGAACAUUGCACAAUGGGCGGAAGCCUGAUGCAGCAACGCCGCGUGCGGGAUGACGGCCUUCGGGUUGUAAACCGAUUUCGCCUGUGACGAAGCGUGAGUGACGGUAAUGGGUAAAGAAGCACCGGCUAACUACGUG
Molecule: ribosomal RNA, 468 nt
Filed under: uncultured bacterium
Lineage: Bacteria
Description: partial 16S ribosomal RNA
Rfam family: Bacterial small subunit ribosomal RNA
Source: RNAcentral